This 491-nucleotide ribosomal RNA is filed under the name marine sediment bacterium ISA-7283. Its description in RNAcentral is "bacterial SSU rRNA". It matches the Rfam family "Bacterial small subunit ribosomal RNA", at positions 36 to 509 of the family's 1533-position model. The record is from RNAcentral.
CUGGCGGCGUGCCUAAUACAUGCAAGUCGAGCGGACAGAUGGGAGCUUGCUCCCUGAUGUUAGCGGCGGACGGGUGAGUAACACGUGGGUAACCUGCCUGUAAGACUGGGAUAACUCCGGGAAACCGGGGCUAAUACCGGAUGGUUGUUUGAACCGCAUGGUUCAAACAUAAAAGGUGGCUUCGGCUACCACUUACAGAUGGACCCGCGGCGCAUUAGCUAGUUGGUGAGGUAACGGCUCACCAAGGCAACGAUGCGUAGCCGACCUGAGAGGGUGAUCGGCCACACUGGGACUGAGACACGGCCCAGACUCCUACGGGAGGCAGCAGUAGGGAAUCUUCCGCAAUGGACGAAAGUCUGACGGAGCAACGCCGCGUGAGUGAUGAAGGUUUUCGGAUCGUAAAGCUCUGUUGUUAGGGAAGAACAAGUACCGUUCGAAUAGGGCGGUACCUUGACGGUACCUAACCAGAAAGCCACGGCUAACUACGUGCC